GCGUCGGUGAUAUAACGGUUAGCAUAGCUGCCUUCCAAGCAGUUGACCCGGGUUCGACUCCCGGCCGACGCA
RNAcentral lists this transfer RNA (72 nucleotides) under Caerostris extrusa. Its description in RNAcentral is "tRNA-Gly". It matches the Rfam family "tRNA". From Rfam's summary of the family: Transfer RNA (tRNA) molecules are approximately 80 nucleotides in length. Their secondary structure includes four short double-helical elements and three loops (D, anti-codon, and T loops). Lineage: Eukaryota; Metazoa; Arthropoda; Arachnida; Araneae; Araneidae. The record is from RNAcentral.